RNAcentral lists this ribosomal RNA (504 nucleotides) under uncultured bacterium. RNAcentral's name for it is "bacterial SSU rRNA". It matches the Rfam family "Bacterial small subunit ribosomal RNA", at positions 15 to 507 of the family's 1533-position model. The record is from RNAcentral.
GAUCAUGGCUCAGGAUGAACGCUAGCUACAGGCUUAACACAUGCAAGUCGAGGGGAAACGACAUCGAAAGCUUGCUUUUGGUGGGCGUCGACCGGCGCACGGGUGAGUAACGCGUAUCCAACCUGCCCACCACUUGGGGAUAACCUUGCGAAAGUAAGACUAAUACCCAAUGAUAUCCCACGAAGGCAUCCGAAUGGGAUUAAAGAUUUAUCGGUGAUGGAUGGGGAUGCGUCUGAUUAGCUUGUUGGCGGGGUAACGGCCCACCAAGGCUACGAUCAGUAGGGGUUCUGAGAGGAAGGUCCCCCACACUGGUACUGAGACACGGACCAGACUCCUACGGGAGGCAGCAGUGAGGAAUAUUGGUCAAUGGGCGCAGGCCUGAACCAGCCAAGUCGCGUGAAGGAAGACGGAUCUAUGGUUUGUAAACUUCUUUAGUGCGGGAACAAAGCGGUGUCGUGACGCCGGAUGAGUGUACCGCAAGAAUAAGCAUCGGCUAACUCCGUG